AUGGCUCAGGACGAACGCUGGCGGCGUGCCUAAUACAUGCAAGUCGAGCGGAUGAAGGAGGAGCUUGCUCCUCCAGAUUCAGCGGCGGACGGGUGAGUAACACGUGGGCAACCUGCCCUGUAGAUUGGGAUAACUCCGGGAAACCGGGGCUAAUACCGAAUAAUCCACCAGACCACAUGGUCCGGUGUUGAAAGGCGGCUUCGGCUGUCACUACAGGAUGGGCCCGCGGCGCAUUAGCUAGUUGGUGGGGUAACGGCCCACCAAGGCGACGAUGCGUAGCCGACCUGAGAGGGUGAUCGGCCACACUGGGACUGAGACACGGCCCAGACUCCUACGGGAGGCAGCAGUAGGGAAUCUUCCACAAUGGACGAAAGUCUGAUGGAGCAACGCCGCGUGAGUGAAGAAGGUUCUCGGAUCGUAAAACUCUGUUGUGAGGGAAGAACAAGUACCGGAGUAACUGCCGGUACCUUGACGGUACCUCAUUAGAAAGCCACGGCUAACUACGUGCCAGCAGCCGCGGUAAUACGUAGGUGGCAAGCGUUGUCCGGAAUCAUUGGGCGUAAAGCGCGCGCAGGCGGUCCCUUAAGUCUGAUGUGAAAGCCCACGGCUCAACCGUGGAGGGUCAUUGGAAACUGGGGGACUUGAGUGCAGAAGAGGAAAGCGGAAUUCCAAGUGUA
RNAcentral lists this ribosomal RNA (677 nucleotides) under Bacillus sp. LLO. RNAcentral describes it as "bacterial SSU rRNA". It matches the Rfam family "Bacterial small subunit ribosomal RNA", at positions 19 to 677 of the family's 1533-position model. The record is from RNAcentral. Lineage: Bacteria; Bacillati; Bacillota; Bacilli; Caryophanales; Bacillaceae.